GAUGAACGCUGGCGGCGUGCCUAAUACAUGCAAGUCGAGCGAAUGGACGAGAAGCUUUCUGCUCCGAUGUUAGCGGCGGACGGGUGAGUACCACGUGGAUAACCUACAUAUAAGACUGGGAUAACUUCGGGAACCCGGAGCUCACACCGGAUAAUAUUUUGAACCGCAUGGUUCAAAAGUUAAAGACGGUCUUGCUGCCACUAAUAGAUGGAUCCGCGCUGCAUUAGCUAGUUGGUAAGGUAACGGCUUACCAAGGCAACGAUGCAUAGCCGACCUGAGAGGGUGAUCGGCCACACGGGAACUGAGACACAGUCCCGACUCCUACGGGAGGCAGCAGUAGGGACUCUUCCGCAAUGGGCGAAAGCCUGACGGAGCAACGCCGCGGGAGUGAUGAAGGUCUUCAGAUCGUAAAACGCUGUCAUUAGGGAAGAACAUAUGUGUAAGUAACUGUGCACAUCUUGACGGUACCUAAUCAGAAAGCCACGGCUAACUACGUG
RNAcentral lists this ribosomal RNA (497 nucleotides) under uncultured bacterium. Its description in RNAcentral is "partial 16S ribosomal RNA". It matches the Rfam family "Bacterial small subunit ribosomal RNA", at positions 28 to 507 of the family's 1533-position model. The record is from RNAcentral.